GAGAGAGAGAAGGAGAGAGAGGUCUCUUUAUUCAAAGCACUGCUAACCACUUCUGAUUGGGGUUUCCAGUGAAGGGCGAGGCUCGUAGUUGUUUAAAGGUAGGAUUGUUUCCUGAAGCCUCCAGCACUUGUUUAUAGUGCAAAUUCCUAAUACUGCCAUCAUUCUUAAAUACCCAUCGCUGCGCAGAUGAUGAAUAGCUACAAGAGUCCAGAUUUACAUUGUCUCCUGUUUGUUGGGCAGAAGGAACAUAAGAGAGGCAGCUUUCUAUAUUCCGAUCAGGCCUUACUGUACUAUCUGCAUAAAGAGCCCAUUGUUGAUCACACCGGGAAUCUAACUGCACGCUUUCAUUCUCUACUCGCAAGCAAAGAUCAGAAGCCCCAAAAAUGUAUGUCAGAUAUGGCCGAGGGUUAUUAGUGGGAAGCCAAGCUUGACUAGCAGCAUGAAUGUUCAAAUCCACUGCAAGUGCGGUACCGCCGUACCUUGAUGUUGCUGUUAAAACUAGUCCAGACUUGGGAUUUUCGAUGCUUCUAUCGUCAAGUAGUUGCCAAUGGGCAGCCUCUGUGUCAUUAUAACUGUUGCAAUCAUAUAUCAUCACAGGCUUUGUUGGUAAAUAUUCAGAAACGGUCAAGCACUUGUCCUUAGAACGAAUCGUUCCAUCACUUCUCAAGGUCCAAAUUUGAUUCGGUUUUGUAUUCAUAUGGCAUGGCCAUAACUGUACUGGGUUUCCAUCGCUGUAGUCUCCGUUUCUCACCUCAACGCAUUGGCCAUCUCUACCGGCAAUAUGCACGGUGGCCUCAGGAUCAUGUGAACAAACUUCGUCACCAGCAAUAUCAUUUGGCAAGACUACUGCGUCAAGUUUUCUUGGUGAUGAUGAUGGAUCUUUGCAUACGUAAAGGAGGAGAGCUAAGUUGCUAACUAAUGGAGCGGUCACCCUGGUUACGUUAAUUAUGCUGAGAUUUUCUCUUUGUAGUUGAAUUAUACCGUUGUUGCUGAACUCCCCAGCAUCAUUAGAUUGCUGGACUGCCGCGGACAGGGCCUCCCAGUUAUUCUCAAGGCUAAGCAUCCUAGCAUCUGGCUGAUCACUUUUAUUGUGAUAAAUUCUCCACCGCACUCCUAACUGGACAAGCUUGAUUCUGGUUGCUUCUGAAAUCAUUUCGAUACAAACUACAAGGGAAGUUGCUUGUUGAGACCGGGAAGUUGUCCCAGAACUAUCAUAUAGAUAUGAGAUAGCAGUCUCAAGUGGAAUCAUUCCCAAGCCAAUUCUAUUUCUGUGUUGAUCUGCA
This 1283-nucleotide unclassified non-coding RNA is filed under the name Hevea brasiliensis (rubber tree). The record is from RNAcentral. Lineage: Eukaryota; Viridiplantae; Streptophyta; Magnoliopsida; Malpighiales; Euphorbiaceae.